Molecule: long non-coding RNA, 661 nt
Filed under: Gossypium raimondii (Peruvian cotton)
Lineage: Eukaryota; Viridiplantae; Streptophyta; Magnoliopsida; Malvales; Malvaceae
Description: long non-coding RNA (GRAI_LNC004964)
Source: RNAcentral
CCAAAAAUCUACAUAAAAAAAAGUAAUCACCUUCGAAUCCCACUUUGAGCCAGCUUAUGAACAAGCAAAAGACAAUUGUUAAAUGACCAAAGAACUUCAGAGAUCAUUUUUCCCAAAUCAACCACAUGAAAGAAAUUAAAUGAGAUACAAACCGUUACCAACAAUUGGCUUUAUACUAGCACUCCGUAUUGGCUUCAAAAAUUGAUCGCUUUUCCCCAAUAAACUUGGUAAUAAGACAUAACUCAUAAUCAAUAUCUACAACUACAUUGUUAAGACCCUCUGGCCCAACAACUAAUUCCACGUCUUCCUUCUCUUCCAUUGAAAGAUUCUCCAUCUCUCUCUCCACUGCAAACGAAAGAAACAGAUAGCAUGAAAGAAAACAAAAGCAAACAAGACCUUUGACUAUGCACUUAGGGCAGAAAAGCUAGAGGCAGGACGGCGCACAUUACUAUUAAGGUAUCUGACGUUACUUGAAUUUGAAAAAAUAUGUUGGAUAUAACAGUAAGUAUUUUAUAUAAAUAUAUGAAAAAUACAGAUAUAUAUAAAAGAAUCAAAGUAAUGUAACUGAGAGAUGCCAUUGCCAAUAUUGGUUCGGCAUAUUUUUCAAAAAGUAGGGAAUAACUAAUAAUACCAUCAGCAGUAUUACAUAUGUAGAGCUAAC